Molecule: ribosomal RNA, 1712 nt
Filed under: Enterobacter hormaechei
Lineage: Bacteria; Pseudomonadati; Pseudomonadota; Gammaproteobacteria; Enterobacterales; Enterobacteriaceae
Description: partial 23S ribosomal RNA
Rfam family: Bacterial large subunit ribosomal RNA
Source: RNAcentral
GGUUAAGCGACUAAGCGUACACGGUGGAUGCCCUGGCAGUCAGAGGCGAUGAAGGACGUGCUAAUCUGCGAAAAGCGCCGGCGAGGUGAUAUGAACCCUUGACCCGGCGAUGUCCGAAUGGGGAAACCCAGUGUGUUCCGACACACUAUCGUUAACUGAAUACAUAGGUUAACGAGGCGAACCGGGGGAACUGAAACAUCUAAGUACCCCGAGGAAAAGAAAUCAACCGAGAUUCCCCCAGUAGCGGCGAGCGAACGGGGAGCAGCCCGGAGUCUGAAUCAGCUUGUGUGUUAGUGGAACGGUCUGGAAAGUCCGACGGUACAGGGUGAUAGUCCCGUACACGAAAACACACUUGCUGUGAACUCGAAGAGUAGGGCGGGACACGUGGUAUCCUGUCUGAAUAUGGGGGGACCAUCCUCCAAGGCUAAAUACUCCUGACUGACCGAUAGUGAACCAGUACCGUGAGGGAAAGGCGAAAAGAACCCCGGCGAGGGGAGUGAAAAAGAACCUGAAACCGUGUACGUACAAGCAGUGGGAGCCUCUUUAUGGGGUGACUGCGUACCUUUUGUAUAAUGGGUCAGCGACUUAUAUUCUGUAGCAAGGUUAACCGUAUAGGGGAGCCGAAGGGAAACCGAGUCUUAACUGGGCGUUAAGUUGCAGGGUAUAGACCCGAAACCCGGUGAUCUAGCCAUGGGCAGGUUGAAGGUUGGGUAACACUAACUGGAGGACCGAACCGACUAAUGUUGAAAAAUUAGCGGAUGACCUGUGGCUGGGGGUGAAAGGCCAAUCAAACCGGGAGAUAGCUGGUUCUCCCCGAAAGCUAUUUAGGUAGCGCCUCGUGAACUCAUCUUCGGGGGUAGAGCACUGUUUCGGCUAGGGGGCCAUCCCGGCUUACCAACCCGAUGCAAACUACGAAUACCGAAGAAUGUUAUCACGGGAGACACACGGCGGGUGCUAACGUCCGUCGUGAAGAGGGAAACAACCCAGACCGCCAGCUAAGGUCCCAAAGUCAUGGUUAAGUGGGAAACGAUGUGGGAAGGCACAGACAGCCAGGAUGUUGGCUUAGAAGCAGCCAUCAUUUAAAGAAAGCGUAAUAGCUCACUGGUCGAGUCGGCCUGCGCGGAAGAUGUAACGGGGCUAAACCAUGCACCGAAGCUGCGGCAGCGACACUAUGUGUUGUUGGGUAGGGGAGCGUUCUGUAAGCCGUUGAAGGUGUGCUGUGAGGCAUGCUGGAGGUAUCAGAAGUGCGAAUGCUGACAUAAGUAACGAUAAAGCGGGUGAAAAGCCCGCUCGCCGGAAGACCAAGGGUUCCUGUCCAACGUUAAUCGGGGCAGGGUGAGUCGACCCCUAAGGCGAGGCCGAAAGGCGUAGUCGAUGGGAAACAGGUUAAUAUUCCUGUACUUGGUGUUACUGCGAAGGGGGGACGGAGAAGGCUAUGUCAGCCGGGCGACGGUUGUCCCGGUUUAAGCAUGUAGGCGGAGGUUCCAGGUAAAUCCGGUACCUUUUAACGCUGAGGUGUGAUGACGAGGCACUACGGUGCUGAAGUGAUAAAUGCCCUGCUUCCAGGAAAAGCCUCUAAGCAUCAGGUAACACGAAAUCGUACCCCAAACCGACACAGGUGGUCAGGUAGAGAAUACCAAGGCGCUUGAGAGAACUCGGGUGAAGGAACUAGGCAAAAUGGUGCCGUAACUUCGGGAGAAGGCACGCUGAUA